This 253-nucleotide ribosomal RNA is filed under the name uncultured bacterium. Its description in RNAcentral is "partial 16S ribosomal RNA". It matches the Rfam family "Bacterial small subunit ribosomal RNA", at positions 524 to 776 of the family's 1533-position model. The record is from RNAcentral.
UACGUAGGGCGCAAGCGUUGUCCGGAAUUAUUGGGCGUAAAGAGCUCGUAGGCGGUUUUUCGCGUCUGCCGUGAAAGUCCGGGGCUCAACUCCGGAUCUGCGGUGGGUACGGGCAGACUAGAGUGAUGUAGGGGAGACUGGAAUUCCUGGUGUAGCGGUGAAAUGCGCAGAUAUCAGGAGGAACACCGAUGGCGAAGGCAGGUCUCUGGGCAUUAACUGACGCUGAGGAGCGAAAGCAUGGGGAGCGAACAGG